Molecule: small nuclear RNA, 163 nt
Organism: Cavia porcellus (domestic guinea pig)
Lineage: Eukaryota; Metazoa; Chordata; Mammalia; Rodentia; Caviidae
Gene: U1
Rfam family: U1 spliceosomal RNA
About the family: U1 is a small nuclear RNA (snRNA) component of the spliceosome (involved in pre-mRNA splicing). Its 5' end forms complementary base pairs with the 5' splice junction, thus defining the 5' donor site of an intron. There are significant differences in sequence and secondary structure between metazoan and yeast U1 snRNAs, the latter being much longer (568 nucleotides as compared to 164 nucleotides in human).
Source: Ensembl
AUACUUACCUGGCAGAGGAGAUACCAUGAUCAUGAAGGUGGUUUUCCCAGGGCCAGGUUUAUCCAUUGCACUGCAGAUGUGCUGACCCCUCAUUUUCCCCAAAUGUGGGAAAUUCAACUGUGUAAUUUGUGGUAGUGGGGGACUGCAUUUGCGCUUUCUCCUG